GCGGUGAAUGAAGCAGCCGCGGCAUGAACAUGCCGAGGAAAGUCCGGACUCCACAGGGAACGAUGCCGGGUAACGCCCGGGGGUUUUGGGGCCCAAGCCCCAAAAUUACGGAAAGUGCAACAGAAAGAAUACCGUCCGGCCGCAAGGCCGGAUAAGGGUGAAACGGCGGGGUAAGAGCCCACCUUGGCGGCGGUAACGCCGCCUGAACGGCAAACCCCAUCGGGAGCAAGGCCAAACAGCGCCGUCGGACGUAAUGUCCCGCAAGUACCCGCUUGAGGCGCGGGUAGGCCGCUUGAGACGGAUGGCGACAUCCGCCCCAGAUAGAUGGCUGCUUUUGUCCAGGCCGCAGGGCAGGGGCAAAGACAAAAUCCGGCUUAUGAUUUCACCGCCUUU
This 393-nucleotide RNase P RNA is filed under the name Treponema sp. Its description in RNAcentral is "RNase P RNA component class A". It matches the Rfam family "Bacterial RNase P class A". From Rfam's summary of the family: Ribonuclease P (RNase P) is a ubiquitous endoribonuclease, found in archaea, bacteria and eukarya as well as chloroplasts and mitochondria. Its best characterised activity is the generation of mature 5'-ends of tRNAs by cleaving the 5'-leader elements of precursor-tRNAs. Lineage: Bacteria; Pseudomonadati; Spirochaetota; Spirochaetia; Treponematales; Treponemataceae. The record is from RNAcentral.